UGGAGAGAAAAUGGCGCUCUACACACCAAGAGGAUUCCUACCUAAUCUGGAGGGACAGUUUGUUGCUGUUGCUUUGAUUUAUCCAGGGCAUUUAACACAGUUCAGCCUGAUUUGCUUUGUCAGAAACUCCAGAAGACUCAGGUGCCACUGGCCGUGUCGGUGACUUCCAGGAAAGGCUGGAUGACGACCGUGAAAGUAUGGUGACGACUGGAGUAUGAAACUCCAGAAGACUCAGGUGCCACUGGUCGUGUCGGUGACUUCCAGGAAAGGCUGGAUGACGACCGUGAAAGUAUGGUGACGACUGGAGAGACAGGGGACGGUUCGGAGAGACGGCAAUCGGUGCAGUAAAGGUUAGCACCCUGAGUUGCAGCUCCCGUGAUGGGGCAAUCAUACCUUGCUAUAGAAAGCCCUAAAGAAAAAUACCCCCAGGGGUGCAUGAGAGGGGGGCAGGAUGAGCACCCCAAAAUGGACGGAUUACCCAGUGCCAGACAUACGCAACGGAUUUUCGAUAACGACAGCAAGUAAGAACCUUAGGGGCCUGAGGAUCUACCAGGCCAAGAUGGGCUGCACAAGGAGGAAGCAAGUAGAGCAACGCACAGAGCCAGUGCCAAGCACUGACCUUGGUGAGACGGAGGAGGAGCAGGAACCGGAGGCACCCCACAGUGUCCAGAAACUCCAUGCUCAACAUGCUACACCUAGCAAACCAUUAGAACAGCGUCAGGUUUUAUUGCCGGCUGCAAACAAGGAGGCUGAGUGGCGGCAGUUUGACGAGGACGUUGAUGCCACUCUAAAUGCAUCUUGCAGAGGAGAAGUUGAUCAGCGACUGCAGUUGAUGAGCACACUAAUCAUCAGCAUCGGUGUAGAGAGAUUUGGCAUCAAAUUACCGAAGGCUCAGAACAUCGUUAGGCCAAACCGGCGUGAGACCAAGAUCUCCCAGCUCCGGAAGGAGCUGAAGGCGUGCGAGACGGAAAGACCAGACCUGACAGAGCUCAGGGACAUCCUGAGGCAGAAACUCAUCUCUGCGACGGGCUGAGUGGCACAGGUGGAGAGGCAGAGAGAGGGCUCGCAAGCGAACGGCCUUUGUUGCAAAUCCUUUCGGAUUUACUAAGCAGCUGCUGGGGCAGACGCAGAGUGGGACCCUGCGUUGCCCAGAGGAUGAGACCAACCAGAGCCUUAGUGCCACAUACAGCAACAGCAGAAGGGAGGAAAAUCUGCCCACCUGCAGAGAGCUACCCACACCUCCAAAACCCUCUGUCCAGUUCAACAUCAAGGAGCCCACUCUGGCAAAGGUCAGGAACAUUAUACAAGCUGCGCAUACUAGUGCAGCCCCAGGCCAAAGUGGAGUGCCCUACAAAUUCUGCAAACAUUGCCCGAGACUCCUGGAGAGGCUCUGGAGACUUAUUAGGGUAGAAUGGCGGAGGUGGAAGGUGGCCCAGCAGUCAAAGGGUGUUUGAAUCCUGAAAGAGGAGAACGCGAGUGACAUCACACAGUUCCGCAUCAUCUCCCUACUCGGUGUGGAAGGCAAAAUCUUCUUUAAGAUUCUUGCCAAUAGGUUAUCUGAGUAUCUCCUGAGAAAUUCUCAAGAAGAGUGGUGAUAGUAUCAUGCUCAGAGGCCCUUUUGCUACCAGUAAAUCUGGCAUUGCACAAAGUUGACAGAAUAACCAAGAGGAAAGACUACCUGCAGAUUCUUCAACUUUACCUCAUAUGCAAAGUCAGACACAGGGUGCAUGGCUCAGAGUAAAGGCGAUUCUUAAAAGUGAUGUGGUUUGGUGUCUGGUAAGGAUGGCUGUCUGAGAGGCCUGACUGUGAGGAGGACUAGCUUGUACCUGUGAGGAGAUUAUGUCUUACAGCAAGCUUCAUAAAGUCUCAGUAGUUUUUGAUAAGAGGAAAAAAAAAAAAACCCUGUUAAAAAAUAAAUAAAACUUGCUUUAAACAGAAAAAACUCCAGCAAAACCAGAGAGAGGAGACUUUUCUGAUCUGCUUAUCAAUAUCAGGAGAGAUUAUAGUAACUGUAGUCAUAGUAUCAUGGUUGACAAUAUUUGACUCCUGGUGCUUAGUUGGCUUAGAUGUUUUUGAAAUAUACCUGAGAAUCCUGCUCCGAUGAUGAUAUUGCUGUAGUUGGGAUGGUAAUCUAGCACAAAGUGGCGAUCAGGUGUUAACUAGAACAACAAAACAAACAAGAUAUAACAAGUCAGCAAGGCCUGAAGCGACAUUAAAUAAUUUCACAAUCAAACAAAAAUCAAGUUAUCAGAAUUCAAAACAACUUAAAAUGUCUACAUACAGGCAGGAAUACAAAUUGUUGGUUACAGAUGUGUGACAUAAUCAAAUUAAGCUUUGUGAAAAGUACAAAAAAAAGGAAAGAAAACAAAAACAUAAAAAAACAAAGAAAACAUGUUUGUAUAAUUAUCUGCAACACAGACCGGCCCCAACUUAUAGAAGGCACCGGGUUUUCUGGCCUUGUGAACAUCACAUCAGAUCUUGAUUGUUUAGCAACCCACAAAAUCUGUCCUAUUUUCCACCAAAGUUUUUCUCCCUCUGUUUCGUUUAGAGGAGCAUCUCUCUGUACAGCCUGUGCUGCCUGUAAAUGUACUGCUUGUAGGCUGUCAAUGUAACUGUGCUGAUGCACCUGAACUUUCCACACUUAGCAGCUAGCUGGCAGAGCAACCUGCGGAGAGUCUCGAGAUUUUCCAGCAGAAAACAUUAAAGCACCGACGCAGCUUAUGAACCGGAAAUGUCCGCGGGUUUGAUUGGAAUUUUCCGAUCCUUAAAUUAUCGAUACCAGAGCCCGAUACGGAUGCUGGAUCGGAUCGGCCCUAUCCCUAACAUAUCUUAGCAUAUGUAUAUUAAGGUGUGUGUAUGUGUGUGUGUGAUAACAGACAUUGAAAGUAAACAUUCAGCAACAGCUGUUGUUAAGACUUUAUAAUCUUUGCUGCUCCCCACAAAGUCAAUGUUCAUAAACAUGCUAGUAGUUGCAUGGUUUCUUGAUCUGAUCAAGAAUUAUUAUUUGCACUGUCUCUUAGAUGCUAAUGACUAUUUGCACACUUUUUAACUUUACCAGGAGUGUUUGUUUCUACAGUUAUGCAUAUUGCUAUUUUUUUCCCCCAUGGUUCUGUAAAUCUGCUGUUUUUCUUCUUUUUAGGUUUAACAUUUUAUAUGAAUAAGCCUUGCUAUUUAUAAAUAAUUGCACAAUAUUUCCAUCCUUUCGAAUAUGUUCUUUCUCUUCUGCGGAACAGCUUAACUUUAACAUUUUGUUCUUUAUGUAAUUGAGCUUUAUGCAAUUAAUUUUGUUCUUAAUGUUUCAUAUCGUGUAUAAUCCAUUUACUUGUUUUUGCCAAAGUCACACCCUGAUUUUCCCACUGUGGGAGAAUAAAAAUAUUUAUAUUCUA
This is a long non-coding RNA of Fundulus heteroclitus (mummichog), 3386 nucleotides long. RefSeq lists it as uncharacterized. Lineage: Eukaryota; Metazoa; Chordata; Actinopteri; Cyprinodontiformes; Fundulidae. The transcript has 2 exons. The record is from RefSeq and is a predicted model, not a curated record.